UGGGGAAUUUUGGACAAUGGGGGAAACCCUGAUCCAGCCAUCCCGCGUGUGCGAUGAAGGCCUUCGGGUUGUAAAGCACUUUUGGCAGGAAAGAAACGUCGCGGGUUAAUACCCCGCGAAACUGACGGUACCUGCAGAAUAAGCACCGGCUAACUACGUGCCAGCAGCCGCGGUAAUACGUAGGGUGCAAGCGUUAAUCGGAAUUACUGGGCGUAAAGCGUGCGCAGGCGGUUCGGAAAGAAAGAUGUGAAAUCCCAGAGCUUAACUUUGGAACUGCAUUUUUAACUACCGGGCUAGAGUGUGUCAGAGGGAGGUGGAAUUCCGCGUGUAGCAGUGAAAUGCGUAGAUAUGCGGAGGAACACCGAUGGCGAAGGCAGCCUCCUGGGAUAACACUGACGCUCAUGCACGAAAGCGUGGGGGAGCAAACAGGAUUAGAUACCCUGGUAGUCCACGCCCUAAACGAUGUCAACUAGUUGUUGGGGAUUCAUUUUCCUUAGUAACGUAGCUAACGCGUGAAGUUGACCGCCUGGGGAGUACGGUCGCAAGAUUAAAACUCAAAUGAAUUGACGGGGU
RNAcentral lists this ribosomal RNA (573 nucleotides) under uncultured bacterium. RNAcentral describes it as "partial 16S ribosomal RNA". It matches the Rfam family "Bacterial small subunit ribosomal RNA", at positions 355 to 919 of the family's 1533-position model. The record is from RNAcentral.